RNAcentral lists this long non-coding RNA (206 nucleotides) under Mytilus galloprovincialis (Mediterranean mussel). Lineage: Eukaryota; Metazoa; Mollusca; Bivalvia; Mytilida; Mytilidae. The record is from RNAcentral.
CCUCAGCUGGCCCCUAAAUAAAAUUGUGUACUAGUUCAGUGAAAAUGGAUGUCACAAUAAACUUCAAAACAUUUAGAUGAACUAAAAUUGAAAAGAUUACAAGACUAACGAACGCUAGGGCACCUAACUUGGGACAGGCACAAAAAUGCGGCAGGGUUCAUAAAACGUGUUUUGUGAGAUCUCAACCCUCCCCCUAUACCUCCAGC